CCUACGGGAGGCAGCAGUGAGGAAUAUUGGUCAAUGGGCGCUAGCCUGAACCAGCCAAGUAGCGUGAAGGAUGAAGGCUCUAUGGGUCGUAAACUUCUUUUAUAUAAGAAUAAAGUGCAGUAUGUAUACUGUUUUGUAUGUAUUAUAUGAAUAAGGAUCGGCUAACUCCGUGCCAGCAGCCGCGGUAAUACGGAGGAUCCGAGCGUUAUCCGGAUUUAUUGGGUUUAAAGGGAGCGUAGAUGGAUGUUUAAGUCAGUUGUGAAAGUUUGCGGCUCAACCGUAAAAUUGCAGUUGAUACUGGAUAUCUUGAGUGCAGUUGAGGCAGGCGGAAUUCGUGGUGUAGCGGUGAAAUGCUUAGAUAUCACGAAGAACUCCGAUUGCGAAGGCAGCUCACUGGACUGCAACUGACACUGAUGCUCGAAAG
RNAcentral lists this ribosomal RNA (424 nucleotides) under uncultured Intestinimonas sp. RNAcentral describes it as "bacterial SSU rRNA". It matches the Rfam family "Bacterial small subunit ribosomal RNA", at positions 338 to 759 of the family's 1533-position model. Lineage: Bacteria; Bacillati; Bacillota; Clostridia; Eubacteriales. The record is from RNAcentral.